ACGCUACUGUCUGAGGGUCGUGAUGGAGGGGGAAUCUGUCAUUAUAAAGGACCUUAUAAAUAGCAUUGUUGUAGGCUAGCAGUGACAACAUUCAGCCGAGUAGUUAUGCGAUGUUAUAUCUAUGGCGACUGCAAGAAUGAAAACUGCUAAACUAUCACUUUUAUUCAAGGGAUAAAUAAC
Long non-coding RNA from Saccostrea echinata, 180 nucleotides. RefSeq lists it as uncharacterized. NCBI's taxonomy places the organism in Eukaryota, Metazoa, Mollusca, Bivalvia, Ostreida, Ostreidae. The transcript has 3 exons. The record is from RefSeq and is a predicted model, not a curated record.